RNAcentral lists this ribosomal RNA (429 nucleotides) under Acidobacteriota bacterium. Its description in RNAcentral is "Acidobacteria bacterium partial 16S ribosomal RNA". It matches the Rfam family "Bacterial small subunit ribosomal RNA", at positions 355 to 776 of the family's 1533-position model. The record is from RNAcentral. Lineage: Bacteria; Pseudomonadati; Acidobacteriota.
UGGGGAAUUUUGGACAAUGGGGGAAACCCUGAUCCAGCCAUCCCGCGUGUGCGAUGAAGGCCUUCGGGUUGUAAAGCACUUUUGGCAGGAAAGAAACGUCAUGGGUUAAUACCCCGUGAAACUGACGGUACCUGCAGAAUAAGCACCGGCUAACUACGUGCCAGCAGCCGCGGUAAUACGUAGGGUGCAAGCGUUAAUCGGAAUUACUGGGCGUAAAGCGUGCGCAGGCGGUUCGGAAAGAAAGAUGUGAAAUCCCAGAGCUCAACUUUGGAACUGCAUUUUUAACUACCGGGCUAGAGUGUGUCAGAGGGAGGUGGAAUUCCGCGUGUAGCAGUGAAAUGCGUAGAUAUGCGGAGGAAUACCGAUGGCGAAGGCAGCCUCCUGGGAUAACACUGACGCUCAUGCACGAAAGCGUGGGGAGCAAACAGG